This is a long non-coding RNA of Phyllopteryx taeniolatus (common seadragon), 1716 nucleotides long. RefSeq lists it as uncharacterized. The transcript is spliced from 3 exons. The record is from RefSeq and is a predicted model, not a curated record. Lineage: Eukaryota; Metazoa; Chordata; Actinopteri; Syngnathiformes; Syngnathidae.
UUACUCUGCUGCUUUUACGAAUAAAGUGAUCACUGUUGUCGAAUCACUAGGGAACUGUGAAGCAGCCUGGCAGUUCGAGAAGCCCCUACAAGAAAAAACACAAGCGCUUCAGGAUGUCGGAAAGUGGCCCAGUUUCCAGAGAUGGAGAAGAAGCUACUAGACAUAUUAGCAGAACGGAGGGGAAGCGGCUUUGCAAUCAGCACUUUAGAACUUAGUCUCAAAGCCUUGAAGCUCAUGAAGGAUAAAGGGAACUGUGAAGCAGCCUGGCAGUUCGAGAAGCCCCUACAAGAAAAAACACAAGCGCUUCAGGAUGUCGGAAAGUGGCCCAGUUUCCAGAGAUGGAGAAGAAGCUACUAGACAUAUUAGCAGAACGGAGGGGAAGCGGCUUUGCAAUCAGCACUUUAGAACUUAGUCUCAAAGCCUUGAAGCUCAUGAAGGAUAAAGCUCAAAGAACGUGCAGCGCUUCUGUCUGGAUGAACUCGAAGUGUCGGUUUCCUCUUCGAAGAGCACAACCCAUCGCCCAGGUGUGAGGGAACCGGCCGGCGCGGCGGACCUUUUGGCGAGGCAGCGAAGUCCGCCGAAGUGAAACGCGUCCUCCUCUUUCUACUCGGCUAACCUCGCUAGCCGCCGAGCUAACGUGCCGCCAGCUAGUUGGUCACACCGCGGCGGAGGGAGCUCCUCGUCGGCGGCGCACGAAGGACGAAGUGACCGAAUUUGCCGGCUCCGUCGAAGACGAAGCCCAGCCGCGCACAGGCAAGGUAAACUUUCUGGUGUUUGGACGCCACUCUGUAUUUGGGAACUUGUCGACAGUCAGCCAGCCAGCCAGCUAGCUAGCUAGCUGGCGUGCCAAUUGGGCUUUUCUUGGUCCUCGCAAAAGUCGCAACUUCUUCAACUGCUUUCUUGUCAAAAUGGCUCAAUAUUGGGCGUAUGAUUCCAAACAACCUUUUUGAUGCGGUUUCUUCUUGUCUUGCUGUGUUAUCAUGUGUGCCAAUGGGCCUCCACCUCUGAUGGCUGGGCCUCCACCACCACCGACGGCUGGGCCUCCUCCACCACCGACGGCUGGGCCUCCACCACCACCGAUGGCUGGGCCUCCAGCACCACCGACGGCUGGGCCUCCACCACCACCGACGGCUGGGCCUCCACCGCUGCCGGCUGAUGCGGAAGCAGGCAGCGUAAAGCUAUAUGCAAACAUUGCCAAUAAAAGAAACAGGGGGCUGCCAAACCCCGCAAUACUAAAGCACCGGAAAUGGAGGGCGUUCCAAACCGUUAAUAACUCUAAAUUAAUAUGGGACUCAACACGUAAACCAAAAGGCAUUCUUUGUGCACACUUAAAUAUACAAAGCAUUUUAACGAAAAGUGAUCAGGUCAAUCACCUUCUCACUGACUCAAAUAUUGACUUCGUCUGCCUAUCUGAGACAUGGAUCUUCGCCCUCAGCAGUACUAUCUGUACCUGGUUAUAAAAUGUUUAGAAACGACAGACAGGGUUCUAAGGGAGGAGGUGUUAUGAUUUAUGCCAAGGACACUUUUAAUUGUAAUGAAAUACAUGUUACAGAUGAGAAUGGAUUAGAAUUUCUUGGACUAACUGUUUCUUUGUCACAGCAAAUGUCUUUUAUUCUUGUAGUUAUUUAUAGGCCUCCCUCAUCAAAUGCCGCUUUCUAUGAAAAGCUGGAAAUGUUACUGAAACAACUCAAUCUUGCAAAAGAGGUGAUAAUAAUG